RNA transcript from Salvelinus fontinalis (brook trout), 1279 nucleotides. It is a transcript of the gene named polysialoglycoprotein-like, with no coding region annotated. The transcript has 6 exons. Lineage: Eukaryota; Metazoa; Chordata; Actinopteri; Salmoniformes; Salmonidae. The record is from RefSeq and is a predicted model, not a curated record.
AGAAGCGGACACCGUUGCAUGCCGCUGCCUAUCUAGGAGAUACAGAAAUUCUAGAGCUACUCAUACUAUCAGGAGGCAGUCCAGGUGCUAUUGAAACACUCUGCUGAUGUGAACGCCAGGGACAAGAACUGGCAGACGCCGCUCCACAUUGCUGCGGCCAAUAAGGCGGUCCGCUGUGCUGAGGCCCUGGUCCCUCUCCUCAGCAAUGUGAACGUGUCGGACCGGGCCGGGCGCACGGCGCUGCACCAUGCAGCCUUCAGCGGACACCUGGAGAUGGUGAUGCUGCUUCUCUCCAGAGGAGCCAAAAUUAAUGCUUUUGACAAGAAGGACCGUAGAGCAAUCCACUGGGCUGCUUACAUGGCAUCAGACCCUAUGGAUCGGAGUAAGGCCAGGGCAUGCACAAUGGAGGCGUCAUUUGAUGACAGCUCUGGGAAAAAAAGAAAAAAAAGUUCAGGAGGUUCGUCAUAUGAAGGACAUUCAAGUGGAUGUGACCCCUAACCUGCAAUAGGGGCUCAGUGGGGUGACAGACAUCCUGUAAUGGAUCUCCAAGCUAGUGUCUGAGGACCUGGAGGAGGCUGUGUCUACAGCUGUGGUUCAGGACAAGCAUGGACCUGAGCCCUGGGACCAUACGUCGGGACUGCCGGGCGUGGUGGCUCCUUGCUGUCCCCAGUCCGCCUGGCCUUGCUGCUGUUCUGCCUGCGGUUAUGGAAUCGCCACCUGUCCCAGACCUGUUGUUUUUCAACUCUUAAUGAUCGGCUAUGAAAAGCCAACUGAAUAUUAUUCAUGAUUAUUAUUUGACCAUGCUUGUCACUUAUGAACAUUUUUGAACAUCUUGGCAUAGUUCUGUUAUAAUCUCCACCCGGCACAGCCAGAAGAGGACUGGCCACCCCUCAUAGCCUGGUUCCUCUCUAGGUUUCUUCCUAGGUUUUGGCCUUUCUAGGGAGUUUUUCCUAGCCACCGUGCUUCUACAUGUGCAUUCUAGCUGUUUGGGGUUUUAGGCUGGGUCUCUGUACAGCACUUCGAGACAUUAGCUGAUGUACGAAGGGCUAUAUAAAAUAAACUUGAUUGAAACUUGAUUGUAUAUAGACUUUCUUUUUUGUACUGUGUCAUUGACUUGUUUAUUGUGUUAUUGGCUUGUUUAUUGUUUAUCCCAUGUGUAACUCUGUGUUGUUCUCUGUGUUACACUGCUUUGCUUUAUCUUGGCCAGGUUGCAGUUGCAAAUGAGAACUUGUUCUCAACUAGCCUACCUGGUUAAAUAAAUGUGAGAAAAAAAUAAAAA